Molecule: ribosomal RNA, 653 nt
Filed under: uncultured bacterium
Lineage: Bacteria
Description: bacterial SSU rRNA
Rfam family: Bacterial small subunit ribosomal RNA
Source: RNAcentral
AAAAGGUGGCUAUGCUACCGCUUUUGGAUGGGCCCGCGGCGCAUUAGCUAGUUGGUAGGGUAAAGGCUUACCAAGGCAAUGAUGCGUAGCCGAAUUGAGAGGUUGAUCGGCCACAUUGGGACUGAGACACGGCCCAAACUCCUACGGGAGGCAGCAGUAGGGAAUCUUCCACAAUGGACGAAAGCCUGAUGGAGCAACGCCGCGUGGGUGAAGAAGGUCUUCGGAUCGUAAAACCCUGUUGUUAGAGAAGAAAGUGCGUGAGAGUAACUGUUCACGUUUCGACGGUAUCUAACCAGAAAGCCACGGCUAACUACGUGCCAGCAGCCGCGGUAAUACGUAGGUGGCAAGCGUUAUCCGGAUUUAUUGGGCGUAAAGGGAACGCAGGCGGUCUUUUAAGUCUGAUGUGAAAGCCUUCGGCUUAACCGGAGUAGUGCAUUGGAAACUGGGAGACUUGAGUGCAGAAGAGGAGAGUGGAACUCCAUGUGUAGCGGUGAAAUGCGUAGAUAUAUGGAAGAACACCAGUGGCGAAAGCGGCUCUCUGGUCUGUAACUGACGCUGAGGUUCGAAAGCGUGGGUAGCAAACAGGAUUAGAUACCCUGGUAGUCCACGCCGUAAACGAUGAAUGCUAAGUGUUGGAGGGUUUCCGCCCUUCA